This 451-nucleotide ribosomal RNA is filed under the name uncultured bacterium. RNAcentral's name for it is "bacterial SSU rRNA". It matches the Rfam family "Bacterial small subunit ribosomal RNA", at positions 32 to 492 of the family's 1533-position model. The record is from RNAcentral.
AAUCAACGCUGGCGGCGUGCCUCAGACAUGCAAGUCGAACGAUUAAAGCUCUCUUCGGAGAGUGUAUAGAGUGGCGCACGGGUGAGUAACACGUAAGUAAUCUACCUUUGAGUGGGGAAUAACAUCGGGAAACCGAUGCUAAUACCGCAUAAUGCAGCGGCAUCGCAAGAUGACAGUUGUUAAAGAUUUAUCGCUUGAAGAGGAGCUUGCGGCAGAUUAGCUAGUUGGUAGGGUAAUGGCUUACCAAGGCUACGAUCUGUAACCGGUCUAAGAGGACGGUCGGUCACACUGACACUGAAUAACGGGUCAGACUCCUACGGGAGGCAGCAGUCGGGAAUUUUGGGCAAUGGGCGAAAGACCUGACCCAGCAACGCCGCGUGAAGGAUGAAGUAUUUCGGUAUGUAAACUUCGAAAGAAUAGGAAGAAUAAAUGACGGUACUAUUUAUAAGGU